CUUAAUUACUAGAUACUACAUACGUUAUUAUCCACAUAUACAUAUGUCAAGCGUUUUUGUCCUACCCUAAAACACACCAGGAAUAACUUGCUUCACGAAUGAAACUAUCAUGUCCUGCUUCGUGGUGGUCCACAUCAGAAGUUCUCCUUGUGGAAGACGAACUUGGUGGUGGUCUUGUGCGAGAAGUCCUGCGACAGGCGUCGGAGCUCCGGCGUGACCUUCUGGUCGCCGCAGUAGAAGACGCCGACGCGCUGGCCCUGGUGGUUGCAGGCCACCCGCUUGAAGACGUCCCGCCAGUUGGGCCGCGCGAAGUGCGUGCGCACCCGCGUCCCGGACACCACGUCGACGCCGCUCUUGGCGUGGUGCAGCGCUUGCAGCAUCACCAGCAGCGCCGACCGCGCGUCGCCUUCCUCGUACACGCUGGUGCAGUGGUUGUGGAGCUCCACCACGUCGCCGCGGGCGUCGCGCUCCGCCACCUCGUUCAUCACGCCGCGGAACCACUCGAAGGAGCCCUCCUCCCGCGUGCACCAGUAGAAGUACACGCGCCGCGUCAUGAACUCCGCCGGCUGCUCUUCGUCUUUGUUGUCCGAGAUGUUGUUGAGCACGUCCUUGACGAUGCUGAUGAGCGGGGUGGCGCCGAUGCCGAGACCGAUGAGGAGGAGCACGUCGUACUUGCGGUAGUCCUGCGCGGGGGCGCCGUAGGGCCCGUCGAUCAGCAGCUUCGGCAGCUUCCCGCCGCCGCCGGCCGCCGUGGAGGACGCGAAGUCGGCCCGCAGGAGGCCGCUCUGGCCGGCGGCGGGCGGCCGGCACACCUGCGCGAAGAGCGCCC
RNAcentral lists this unclassified non-coding RNA (829 nucleotides) under Zea mays. Its description in RNAcentral is "misc RNA Zm00001eb410390". Lineage: Eukaryota; Viridiplantae; Streptophyta; Magnoliopsida; Poales; Poaceae. The record is from RNAcentral.